UUGGCCGAUGGCCGACCAUCGGGCGGUGCUCGGCAGAUCGCUGGGAGCCGAUCAUGACGGCUUGAAGAGCUUGGACCGCAAAAAGGCCGACUUAUGUUGCCGAACCCAUCGGCACUAGCUUGGCCACGGAUGCUGGCCCGGGUGCAUAGGCUGCAUAAUGCCGAGCACGAAAGUUGUGGCUGGCCAGAGACGUAGGCUUCACGCUGGCAUGACGCUGCUGGCCGAUAAUGUAGGAUGCACCCGCCCGCCGCCUAGUCGGCGCCCGAAUAGAAGUCGCCGCCUAGUCGACGCCGACUUCCGCCUGGGGGGGACGGGAUUGGGGAGCGAAAGAAUAGGCAGGAGGAGGUCGCCUCCCGUCUGUGGCAGUCAGAAUUCAGGCAGCAUUCAUGGGGAAGCAACCGGCAAGAGGCAGGCAUGUAGAUGCAUGUUCGGGGGAGCUUUUGGCAGGAAGAGACAUUCAGUGGCUGCUUGAUCGGCGCAGCUUCGCACGGUUUCUAUGGCACUGCACUUCUUGUUCGUGAAAAAUGGACAUUUCCAGCCUGCGAAUUUUCACCUCCUAUGGAUGUCCCCAUUUACUCGUACCAGGGCGGGACCAUAGCAAAAUCAGUCAAGUGACCUGGCUGCAGAGUUCUCUGGUAAAUUGGCUUACGCAAUUCAAGGAAGGACAUCUUCAAGUACCCAUGCAAAACUGUAAUUGAUUAAUUCUCAUUUUUUGUUUGUCACAACAACUAAUUCCUACUAUUACAGCAUUUCACAAGAAAGUAUUACAGUUUCUGUUGUGUUUGUAUCUAAAUAGUUCAAUAAAUGUAGAGAAAAAUCAA
Molecule: long non-coding RNA, 821 nt
Organism: Dermacentor silvarum
Lineage: Eukaryota; Metazoa; Arthropoda; Arachnida; Ixodida; Ixodidae
Exons: 2
Source: RefSeq, a predicted model, not a curated record